ACUCAAAGGAAUUGACGGGGACCCGCACAAGCAGCGGAGCGUGUGGUUUAAUUCGAUGCAACGCGAAGAACCUUACCAAGGCUUGACAUGUACUUGCACCGGCCGUAAUGGGUCGUUCUCUUCGGAGACGGGUACACAGGUGCUGCAUGGCUGUCGUCAGCUCGUGUCGUGAGAUGUUGGGUUCAGUCCCGCAACGAGCGCAACCCCUAUCGUUAGUUAGAAAUGUCUAGCGAGACUGCCAGAGAAAACUGGAGGAAGGCGGGGAUGACGUCAAGUCAGCACGGCCCUUACGCCUUGGGCGACACACACGCUACAAUGGUCAGGACAAUGGGUCGCGAACCCGCGAGGGGGAGCUAAUCUUAUCAAACCUGGCCUCAGUUCAGAUUGGAGGCUGCAACCCGCCUCCAUGAAGUGGGAGUUGCUAGUAACCGUCGGUCAGCACACGACGGUGAAUACGUUCCCGGGUCUUGCACACACCGCCCGU
RNAcentral lists this ribosomal RNA (484 nucleotides) under uncultured bacterium. RNAcentral's name for it is "partial 16S ribosomal RNA". It matches the Rfam family "Bacterial small subunit ribosomal RNA", at positions 899 to 1397 of the family's 1533-position model. The record is from RNAcentral.